GGAAGAGAGAGAAGGAUGUGGCGGAGGCGGCAGGUCAGGAGAGGGCCAGAACCGAAACAGGAAAAUGCCAGGGGGCCAUACCCACAUCAAAGGCAAAAAUGAGAAAGGGAGUCUAGGAAGGCGACAUGGGUCCCUGGGCGAGAGGAAGCGGACUGGCACCAGGCUGGACUAGGAAGCCGUAAGGUGUCAGCAGAGCCUGCGGAGGAUGGAACAAAGGAGACCUCUCGCGGCGGAGGAGACAGUCACCUGGCGGAGGACGAACGCGGCGAGCAGAGCAGGGAAGUUCCUGGGCUCCCGUAAAGUGAUGAGACGUUGUGAAUUCGAAGUAGGUGGGAGAGAAGAGGGACGUGUGGUCUGUAACCACCAAGACGCCACAGGAUCAGAUGCAUCCACCCCUGCUGAGGCCCGUGACCAUCUAAAGGGGAACGUCAUUUGAGAGGCCCUACUCAUGGAUGAGAAGCCCUCUCUCUCCACUGUGGGCUGUGCUGGGUUGACGGGGCGUUGCCGUGGAAUCAGGGUUUCCUCAGCACCCACAUCUGGGCACCCUCAUAAGAUAGCGCGAUUCCAACAUUCGAGGUUCCCAACAGCCCAGAUGCCCCACAUCCAACUCUUGAGCCCACUCGGAGCUCUCCAUGCUCGCUCACAUGUCCCUCUUGCAAGCAGCCCGAUUUGCUGACGUGGUGUUCAUGGGCAGUAAGAUGUUAAUGUAUUUUCCCUGGUCACCUUUGCAGCUCCACUGUUUUGAGUGGGUUAUUUCAAGGGGAGAAGGUGCUCCUCAGAGGGUUGUCACAAGUGAUAUCUUUCCUUUGUGUCUGCCAGGUUAGCCCCCUUCACCUGUAAGAGCUUGGAGCCUAGAUUUGUUAUUCAUUUAUUCCAGUUUUACUGAGUGGUGUCAUGCCAGGCACUUCUUUAGGUACUAAGGAUAAGGCAGUAAAUACAAUAUAGACUCUAGGGAUGUGGAACUUAACAUCCCAGUGGGGAUGAAGAUGAUCAUGAGUAAAUGUAGAUGAGAUGGUGACCGAUGUUACAAAGAAAUGUAGACUAGGGUAAGAAUAGAGUGGCAGAGGAGGUGCUGCCUUAUACAUGAUGGUCAGGGACAGGUCUACCCUUAAUACUUGCAAGAACUGAGUGAGUAGUACAAAUGGGGGCUCACCUAUGCUGUCUCUAUAUUUUAAAACUACAAACCGAAUUAAACCAUGAUAUAAAAUUCCUUUUAUCUUGACAUCUAUACCUUCAUCAUAAUCUGGAAGGCCACAUUUAUGUUUAGGAUUCUUGGACCCUUCUGAGAUAUGCCCUUGAAUGCAGUGCUUUGGAGGGGGAACAGGUCCUUGGCCCUCAGCCUGCCUUCUCUUGGCACCUUAGCUCUGUCCCAUAUUUCAGUGGCCUUGUGCCCACACCUAUAACAACUCUGGCUGCACAUCAGAGUUUUGUCCACACCUCCUACAAAUAGCCUCUCCUUGACCACCACUUGCUCCUCAGGAGGACAGACCUUGGGAAAGGGCUGAUGCAGGCUGUAGCUGGUAACCCGUUGCUAUUGGAGCAGUAGGUUCUAGGGUCCCAGGUACUCACAGUGUGCUCUAAAAAGGGGAGAGGGGCAAGAACUUUGGGUACAUCCCACUGGGCUUCUUGCUCUGUGGAAAAGAACAUUGAUGGAAGAGGAUCAGGUGCUCAGAGCCCUAGAUUGGGUCACCUCUUGCCGCUGUCUUAAGGCAGUUUUAAAGAGGUAACUUUGAGCCAAAGACCUAAAUGAAGUAUGGGAGGAAGGCUUGUAGCAAUCUGGGUUAGGAGCAUUCCAGGAAGAGGUCCAGAGGUUGGAGUUUUUACUCCUCUCAUGUGUUCAUAUUCCCUCUGCCCCAUGUCUUAAACUGCAUAAAGAAAUUAUGUGUUAACCAAUUGGGGUGUCAGUACCUUGCUAACUCUCCUCCCCCACGACACAGCCAAUUCCAGUUGCUGGGUACUCCCCUGGGACUCAGUCUCUGUACAGCUUCUGCUCUCCAACUCUUCUCACUACUAUCAGCUUCUGGGACCAGAAUGGCUGGUCCUCUAGUAACCCUGGAUUCCAUGGGUUGGAAGUACUCCAGCGGCUAGCUCAGGUUCCAGUAAAGUUUGGUACCUUCAAAUGUCUCUGUUGUUAAACAGUGUUGUAGUUCUCAUUGCGUGGGCCUAGAAAUUAAGGAAACAAUGUCUACUGAACAUACUGAGUGCCUGAGAAAGUCACCCCGGAUAAAUACACAAAGAUCUGCUUGUUUGCAUAUCAGUUUCAGAGCAUCAGAAAUGGAAAUGCAAACUAUUUGAAUGGAGUAGGGAAAAGUUUCUUGCCAGUGGGGCCAAAGAGGUUUAGGACUGAGUUUUAAAGUCUUGUGUUUCUGUAUCUCAUCUGAAGAGGGAUUUUCAACUUUUUAAAGUCUUGGAAGCCUUUGUUCACACAGAAUCUUGAAAGGAAACUUAAACAGAUAAGAGCAAGAACAAAAAUAUAACCUAGAGUAAAACUCACUUUCUAUGGUCAAUGGGGACCCUAGGCCUCCAUUUGACAAUCACUGAUUUAGAAUCAAGAACAGAAAUCACAAUUUGCCCUUCCUGGAACUUCUGGGAUGAAAAGGUUACAGAAAAGAAAAUUUACUCAGGAAUGGGUGUUGAGAGGAACGGGUGCUGAGGAAAGCCCUGGAGGCUGGAGGGGACACUUAGAAAUUCCUACCCAAGUUCCCUGUUCCCCCUUUCGACAUGUAAGUUGUAGGAAAGGGGGCCGAGAUGAAUCAGAUGAGCAAAUCAUCAUAGUAGGAGCUAGCACUUUGCACCUGCUGCUCUAAACAUUUACAGACUGUACUCAUUUAGUCCCCACACCAACCCUCAAUAUGAGGUUGAUAUUAUAGCAACUCUCAACCUGAAGAUGAGGUUGAUAAACGAUUUUUAUAGAUGGGACUGAAGUGGAAGGGGUUCUGUUGACUUUCCCACUUGUGAAUCAUUCAUGUGUUAUGCAUGAAAAAAAGAGGGAAUUUGGAAGUCUGCCACCCAAAAAUGAAAUAGAUUGUGAGAGGAACGCAGCUUAUACACAAAUACACAUAAUUAUAGUGAGCAACAGAAAAGUGUUUGGUAACAUACAUCACCUGGUAACAUUAGAUGACUUUCCCCUCACUCAUUCAUACCAGGGAUCAGAGAAGGUGUAUGCAGCUGGAGGCAGGUGCCCAGCAACAGAAGAGAGACCCUGGCUUUGUCCCUUCAAAACUCUAGGUCUUCCAGAUGAACCUUUCCAUAGCUGGAAGCAGUUAGAACCCUAAUUCUGAAAGUUGGAAGAGAAAUAGAGUCUGUAUCAGGUAUGGCAGGAAAGAGAAGGCACAUUUCAAGGAUCUACUUAAAAUGGUUUACUGAAAGGACUAUUCACAGGGUUGUGUGCAGGGCAAAGGGAACUAAUCUAGGGACUGGCAACAGCAGAAAGCCUUUUUAGCACAACUGGACCGAAGCAGAGAAAGGGAGAGAACUUUUUGAUGAAAACCAGUGACAGCAGGAGGUGAGGGAGAGGGGCUGCCCAACCAGGGUCGCAACCACGUGAUCCCACCAUUGCUGGAAACACAGGGAGGCACAGGGAGAGUGUGACUUCCACUUGUUUCUCCUCCAGUCCUCCAGUUUCUUGCCAUUGCCUCCCAUUGGCCAAACCCAAUCAAAGCCAGAGGGUGAACAUACCCCAAUAAUAUAGUCCAUAGAAACUGGCUUCCAAGACAAAAGGCAGGACAGAGGAGGGUGGAGAAUGGAGAAUAAUGUACCUAGUACAGGGUCCCCAAAUUUUGGCCCUUCAAGGACUUAGAAAUAAGAAUGGAAGGGCCAGGCUCAGUGGCUCAUACCUGUAAUCCCAGCACGUGGGAGGCUGAGGCAGGUGGAUCACCUGAGGUUGGGAUUUCAAGACCAGCCUCACCAACAUGGAGAAACCCUAUCUCUACUAAAAAUACAAAAUUAACCAGGCAUAGUAGUGCAUGCCUGUACUCCUAGCUACUCAGGAGGCUGAGGCAGGAGAAUCGCUUGAACCCAGGAGGCAGAGGUUGUGGUGAGCCGAGAUCAUGCCCUUGCACUCCA
Callithrix jacchus (white-tufted-ear marmoset) is the source of this 4065-nucleotide non-coding RNA. The record is from RefSeq and is a predicted model, not a curated record. NCBI's taxonomy places the organism in Eukaryota, Metazoa, Chordata, Mammalia, Primates, Cebidae.